This 371-nucleotide ribosomal RNA is filed under the name uncultured organism. RNAcentral's name for it is "bacterial SSU rRNA". It matches the Rfam family "Bacterial small subunit ribosomal RNA", at positions 527 to 896 of the family's 1533-position model. The record is from RNAcentral.
CGGGGGGGCAAGCGUUGUUCGGAAUUACUGGGCGUAAAGGGCUUGUAGGUGGCCAACUAAGUCAAACGUGAAAUCCCUCAGCUUAACUGGGGAACUGCGUCUGAUACUGGAUGGCUUGAGUUUGGGAGAGGGAUGCGGAAUUCCAGGUGUAGCGGUGAAAUGCGUAGAUAUCUGGAGGAACACCGGUGGCGAAGGCGGCAUCCUGGACCAAUACUGACACUGAAAAGCGAAAGCCAGGGGAGCAAACGGGAUUAGAUACCCCGGUAGUCCUGGCCCUAAACGAUGAAUGCUUGGUGUGGCGGGUAUCGAUCCCUGCCGUGCCGAAGCUAACGCAUUAAGCAUUCCGCCUGGGGAGUACGGUCGCAAGGCUG